This 468-nucleotide ribosomal RNA is filed under the name uncultured bacterium. Its description in RNAcentral is "partial 16S ribosomal RNA". It matches the Rfam family "Bacterial small subunit ribosomal RNA", at positions 28 to 507 of the family's 1533-position model. The record is from RNAcentral.
GACGAACGCUGGCGGCGUGCUUAACACAUGCAAGUCGAACGGAAAGGCCCUGCUUUUGUGGGGUGCUCGAGUGGCGAACGGGUGAGUAACACGUGAGUAACCUGCCCUUGACUUUGGGAUAACUUCAGGAAACUGGGGCUAAUACCGGAUAGGAGCUCCUGCUGCAUGGUGGGGGUUGGAAAGUUUCGGCGGUUGGGGAUGGACUCGCGGCUUAUCAGCUUGUUGGUGGGGUAGUGGCUUACCAAGGCUUUGACGGGUAGCCGGCCUGAGAGGGUGACCGGCCACAUUGGGACUGAGAUACGGCCCAGACUCCUACGGGAGGCAGCAGGGGGGAAUAUUGCACAAUGGGCGGAAGCCUGAUGCAGCAACGCCGCGUGCGGGAAGACGGCCUUCGGGUUGUGAACCGCUUUCGCCUGUGACGAAGCGUGAGUGACGGUAAUGGGUAAAGAAGCACCGGCUAACUACGUG